GGGCGUGUAGCUCAGCGGGAGAGCGCCCGCCUUACAAGCGGGAGGUCCAAGGUUCGACCCCUUGCACGCCCACCA
RNAcentral lists this transfer RNA (75 nucleotides) under Caldinitratiruptor microaerophilus. Its description in RNAcentral is "tRNA-Val". It matches the Rfam family "tRNA". From Rfam's summary of the family: Transfer RNA (tRNA) molecules are approximately 80 nucleotides in length. Their secondary structure includes four short double-helical elements and three loops (D, anti-codon, and T loops). Further hydrogen bonds mediate the characteristic L-shaped molecular structure. tRNAs have two regions of fundamental functional importance: the anti-codon, which is responsible for specific mRNA codon recognition, and the 3' end, to which the tRNAs corresponding amino acid is attached (by aminoacyl-tRNA synthetases). tRNAs cope with the degeneracy of the genetic code in two manners: having more than one tRNA (with a specific anti-codon) for a particular amino acid; and 'wobble' base-pairing, i.e. permitting non-standard base-pairing at the 3rd anti-codon position. Lineage: Bacteria; Bacillati; Bacillota; Clostridia; Eubacteriales; Symbiobacteriaceae. The record is from RNAcentral.